UACGUAGGUGGCAAGCGUUGUCCGGAUUUACUGGGCGUAAAGAGCGCGCAGGCGGUCGUUCAAGUCGAGUGUGAAAGCCCCCGGCUCAACUGGGGAGGGUCACUCGAUACUGAUCGACUCGAAGGCAGAAGAGGGAAGCGGAAUUCCCGGUGUAGUGGUGAAAUGCGUAGAUAUCGGGAGGAACACCAGUGGCGAAGGCGGCUUUCUGGUCUGCUCUUGACGCUGAGGCGCGAAAGCUAGGGUAACAAACGGG
Molecule: ribosomal RNA, 253 nt
Filed under: uncultured bacterium
Lineage: Bacteria
Description: partial 16S ribosomal RNA
Rfam family: Bacterial small subunit ribosomal RNA
Source: RNAcentral